This 4206-nucleotide long non-coding RNA is filed under the name Calidris pugnax (ruff). RNAcentral describes it as "lncRNA (ENSCPUG00000010745.1)". The record is from RNAcentral. Lineage: Eukaryota; Metazoa; Chordata; Aves; Charadriiformes; Scolopacidae.
AUGCCUGGGUCCCAUUCUGGGACUCCUGGGUCCCUCCUGGGUGCCUUGGUCCCCAUCCCUGGGUGCUUGGGUCCCCCUUCUAGGGGUGUGUGUGUCCUCCCCAUGACACCUGGGUCCCCGGAGAGGGUCCCCAUCCCUGGGUGCCUGGGUCCCCACCCGAAUUCCUGGGUCCCAUCCCCAGCCUCCUGGGGGAGGGAGGCUCCUCUUAUCUCCAUGAUGGGGCUGGGAAGGGCUCCCCACCCAAAUACCUGGGUCCCCAGGGAGGUCCCCAUCCCUGGGUGCCUGGGUCCCUCUUCUAGGGGUGUGUGUGUCCUCCCCAUGACACCUGGGUCCCCGGAGAGGGUCCCCAUCCCUGGGUGCCUGGGUCCCCACCCGAAUUCCUGGGUCCCAUCCGAGAGGGUAAAUCAGGGCCUGAGGGGUAAAUCAGGGCCCAAGGGGUUAAAUCAGGGCCCUGGGGAGGUAAUUGUGGGCUCCAAGGGGGUGGCAGCACCUUUCUGCCCGGGUCCCUCCUGUCACCCCGGCCCACGUGGGUGUGGGAGCGGCAGUGACGUGGGUGACGUGGGUGCCCCCCGCCGUGGGCACCCUUCCCGAGGGGCGCAGGGAGGAUGUCCUCUCCACAACCACUGUCCCCGGCGGUGGCCUCGGCCACGGUGGCCUCCAGGCGGGCGCUGGCGGUGCUGGCAGGGCUGGCAGAGGCUCUGGGGACACCGAGGGCGGUGGCCUCAGUGCUGGCGGAGGCCAAGGCAGUGCUGGCGGAGGUGGAGGCGGCGCUGGCAGGGCUGGAAGCGGCGCUGGUGGCAGCGAUGGCGUCAGCGGCGACGGCGACGCCGGAGCUCAGUGCCGAGGGUCUUUACCGGGCGCUGGCGGCGGUCGCUGAGGGCAGCGCCGCCGAACUGGAGCGGGAGCUGAGGCGGAACCACCGGCACUGCUGGGGGCUGCGGCUGGGCCGGACCGUCGCCCUGGUGCUGAUCCUCCUCUGUGCCCCUCUGCGUGAGUACGGACCAGUAUAGACCGGAAUGGACCAGUUCAGACCAGUAGGGAGCCCUACGAAUCUGCUUGGACCAGUAAUACCAGUUAAGAACCCUACAGACCAGUACACACCAGUAGGGACCCCUACAGGCCAGUAGAGACUUUCCCCUGCCCAGACCAGUAGGGACCAGUUCCAACCAGUAGGGAGCCCUACGAAUCUGCUUGGACCAGUAAUACCAGUAGAGAACCCUACAGACCAGUACACACCAGUAGGGAGCCCUACAGACCAGUACACACCAGUAGGGACCUCUACGGGCCAGUAGAGACUUUCCCCUGCCCAGACCAGUAGGGACCAGUUCCAACCAGUAGGGAGCUCUACGCCUCAGCUUGGACCAGUAAUACCAGUAGAGAACCCUACAGGCCAGUACACACCAGUAGGGACCUCUACGGGCCAGUAGAGACUUUCCCCUGCCCCGACCAGUAGGGACCAGUUCCAACCACUAGGGAGCUCUACGCCUCAGCUUGGACCAGUAAUACCAGUAGAGAACCCUACAGGCCAGUACACACCAGUAGGGACCUCUACGGGCCAGUAGAGACUUUCCCCUGCCCCGACCAGUAGGGACCAGUUCCAACCAGUAGGGAGGCCAAUGGCUCAACUUGGACCAGUAAUGCUGGUAGAGAUCCCCACAGACCAGUAAUACCAGCAAGGAGCCCUGCAGACCAGUAUGGACCAGUACAGACCAGUAGACAGCCCUAUGGAUCUGCUUGGAUCAGUGGUGCCAGCAGAGAACCCUACAGACCAGUAAGGACCAGUAUGGACCAGUAAGGAGCCCUACAGACCAGUACUGACCUUCAUGUGCCCUGACCAGUAUCAACAAGUUUAGGUCAGGAGGGACCACUGCAGAGCAGUAGAGACCAGUAUGCACCAGUAGAAAUUUCUACAUACCAGGAGAGGCUUUCUCUUGCCGUGACCAGUACAGACCAGAAUCGACCAGUUCAGACCAGUAGACAGCCCUAUGGAUCUGCUUGGAUCAGUGGUGCCAGCAGAGAACCCUACAGACCAGUAAGGACCAGUACGGACCAGUAAGGAGCUGUACAGGUGGGUAGAGACUUUCUCCUGCCCUGACCAGUAGGGACCAGUUCCGACCAGUAGGAAGCCCCGCAGAUCUCUUUGGGUCAGUAAUACCAGUAGAGGACCCUACAGACCAGUAGGAACCAGUAGGAAACCCUACAGACCAGUAGCUACUGUGCCCUGCUCUGACCAGUAUAGGCCAGUCUGGACCUAUAUGGGCUGAUCAGGAGCUCUACAGACCAGUUCAGACCAGUAUAUACCAGUAAGGACCAGUAGGAGCCACUGUAGACCAGUAGGGAGCUGUAAAGACCGGUGGGAUGUCCUACAAACCAGUAUAGACCAGUAUAGACCUUCACCUGCCUCAACUGCUAUGGACAGGGACACACUGGGAGGGGAUGGGGGACACUGGGAUGGGACUGGGGACACUGGGAGGGAACUGGGGACACUGGGAGGGGAUGGGGACACUGGGACAAGACUGGGGACACUGGGAGGGGACUGGGGACACUGGGAGGGGAUGGGGACACUGGGACAAGACUGGGGACACUGGGAGGGGACUUUAGGAAGGGAGAGGGGACACCAGGAGGAGAUGGGGACACUGGGAGGGGACAAGGAUCCCAGGGGACACUGGGAGGAGAUGGGGGACACCGGGACAAGACUGGGGGCACUGGGAGGGGACAGAGGACACUGGGAUGGGCGUCACCAGGAGGGGACAGGGGACAUCAGGAGAGGACUGGGGACACCGUGAUGGGACUGGGGACACUGGGAUGGGGGACACCAGGAAGGGACAGGAGACGUUGGGAGAGGACUGGGGACACUGGGAGGGAACUGGGGGACACUGGGAUGGUGGUCACCUGGAGGGGACUGGGGACACUGGGAGGGAACUGGGGACACUGGGAUGGGGGACACCAGGAGGAGACCCUGGGAGAGGACACCAGGAAGGGCUGGGGACACUGGGACAAGAGUGGAGACAUUGGGAGGGGACAGGGGACAUUGGACACACUGGGAUGGUGGUCACCUGGAGGGAACUGGGGACACUGGGAUGGGACUGGGGACACUGGGAGGGGACAAGGACACCGGGUGACGUCCCCGUCCCCUCCGUGUCCCCGCAGUGUCCCUGGACGUGGUGCGGGAGGCGUUGGGGGUGACCCAGGAGAGCCACCUCGUCCCCUCCUUGGCCACCGUCGUCCUCUUCUGCCAGGUGGCCCUGUGGGGCGCGGGGACAUCCAAGCGUCACUUGGCCACCGCCGCCCGUCACCAGCGUCACCAAGCCCUGCGCUACCACCACCUGGCCCGCGACGCCGCCGCCGCCACCGCUGCCACCACCGAGGCCACCGAGGCCAUCGCCGCUGCCAACGUCACCUUGGGGACGCUGGAGGAGGUGGCCGGUCACCUGAGGAACCUGGUGGACGCUGUCACCCAGGACCUGGAGAUGGGGCAGGGCUUCCCUGCCAGCGCCCGGGCCUUGGGGGACGCCGUGGUGGCCUUGGGGACAGCCAUGGGGGACAAGGAGGGGACGGAGAGGUUGGCCCGAGCGCUGGAGGUUCUGCCGGAGGACGAGUAGGGACGAGGAUGGGGGACACCAGGAGGGUCCUGCUUGUCCUGGGGACACACUGAUGUCCCCUGUCCCGUCUGGGGACACCAGUAGGGUCCUCCUCAUCCUGGAGCCACCAGGAUGUCCCUUCUCCAUCCUGGGGACACUGGGGUGCCCCCUGUCCCAUCUGGGGACACCAGUAGGGUCCUCCUCAUCCUGGAGCCACCAGGAUGUCCCUUCUCCAUCCUGGGGACACUGGGGUGCCCCCUGUCCCAUCUGGGGACACCAGUAGGGUCCUCCUCAUCCUGGAGCCACCAGGAUGUCCCUUCUCCAUCCUGGGGACACUGGGGUGCCCCCUGUCCCAUCUGGGGACACCAGUAGGGUCCUCCUCAUCCUGGAGCCACCAGGAUGUCCCUUCUCAGUCCUGGGGACACUGGGAUGUCCCCUGUCCUGCCUGAGGACACCUGGAUGUCCCUCGUCCUGGGGAGACCAGGGGGACACCAGGAUGUCCCCUGUCCCACCUGGGGGUGUUGAGGAUGUCCCCUUUGUGGUCCAAGGACACCAGGGACGGGUUGGUGACACCGUUGCCCAUCUCCCCAAUAAACCUGAGGGACACGCUGAGCCCCCGACCUGU